AUUGAACGCUGGCGGCAUGCUUUACACAUGCAAGUCGAACGGCAGCGCGGGCUUCGGCCUGGCGGCGAGUGGCGAACGGGUGAGUAAUGCAUCGGAACGUGCCCAGUAGUGGGGGAUAGCCCGGCGAAAGCCGGAUUAAUACCGCAUACGACCUGAGGGUGAAAGCGGGGGACCGAAAGGCCUCGCGCUAUUGGAGCGGCCGAUGUCGGAUUAGCUAGUUGGUGGGGUAAAGGCUUACCAAGGCGACGAUCCGUAGCUGGUCUGAGAGGACGACCAGCCACACUGGGACUGAGACACGGCCCAGACUCCUACGGGAGGCAGCAGUGGGGAAUUUUGGACAAUGGGGGCAAGCCUGAUCCAGCCAUGCCGCGUGCGGGAAGAAGGCCUUCGGGUUGUAAACCGCUUUUGUUCGGGAAGAAAUGCUCUGGGCUAAUACCCCGGGGGGAUGACGGUACCGGAAGAAUAAGCACCGGCUAACUACGUG
Molecule: ribosomal RNA, 484 nt
Filed under: uncultured bacterium
Lineage: Bacteria
Description: partial 16S ribosomal RNA
Rfam family: Bacterial small subunit ribosomal RNA
Source: RNAcentral